GUCGAAUGGUAACAGGAAACAGCUUGCUGUUUCGCUGACGAGUGGCGGACGGGUGAGUAAUGUCUGGGAAACUGCCUGAUGGAGGGGGAUAACUACUGGAAACGGUAGCUAAUACCGCAUAACGUCGCAAGACCAAAGAGGGGGACCUUCGGGCCUCUUGCCAUCAGAUGUGCCCAGAUGGGAUUAGCUAGUAGGUGGGGUAACGGCUCACCUAGGCGACGAUCCCUAGCUGGUCUGAGAGGAUGACCAGCCACACUGGAACUGAGACACGGUCCAGACUCCUACGGGAGGCAGCAGUGGGGAAUAUUGCACAAUGGGCGCAAGCCUGAUGCAGCCAUGCCGCGUGUAUGAAGAAGGCCUUCGGGUUGUAAAGUACUUUCAGCGGGGAGGAAGGGAGUAAAGUUAAUACCUUUGCUCAUUGACGUUACCCGCAGAAGAAGCACCGGCUAACUCCGUGCCAGCAGCCGCGGUAAUACGGAGGGUGCAAGCGUUAAUCGGAAUUACUGGGCGUAAAGCGCACGCAGGCGGUUUGUUAAGUCAGAUGUGAAAUCCCCGGGCUCAACCUGGGAACUGCAUCUGAUACUGGCAAGCUUGAGUCUCGUAGAGGGGGGUAGAAUUCCAGGUGUAGCGGUGAAAUGCGUAGAGA
RNAcentral lists this ribosomal RNA (646 nucleotides) under uncultured Pseudomonadota bacterium. RNAcentral describes it as "bacterial SSU rRNA". It matches the Rfam family "Bacterial small subunit ribosomal RNA", at positions 61 to 696 of the family's 1533-position model. Lineage: Bacteria; Pseudomonadati; Pseudomonadota. The record is from RNAcentral.